AUGUAUUCUGCCACAAAUGAUGAGACUGAUGACGAGACUGAAGGGACAUUUUCUCGAUUUGACGUUGUAUUUUUCAAUGUAAUAUCGUACAAUAUUUGUUCAUUUAAAGAUGAAUCGGCAAUCUGAUGGCACACUUUCAUUAAAAUGUGAUUUAUGCAUAGUCUACAUUUGAAAACUAAUGCAAGUUAAAUUUGUUGGUAUUACAGGGUUGAAAACAUCAUCAUAUAAUGCGGAUUGAAAAUACAUAAUAUGAUAGGCACGUUGACUUGAAAAAAUUCGUCGACUGCAAAAACAAGAUGGCGACAUGCCAGGCAAGCUUCCAUUUUAUUGGACGUAAAAAUGCAUAAAAAGGUUGCGGACAUGAUUUGAUGACCUAAAUGAGGUUAUAUUGAAGACGAAUUAUCUUACAUGGUGCAAGAAUUUCGCGCCAGAGUGGAAAGGAAGGGCCCUUAUUGAUUGUAUUGAUAAUAGAAAUAAUUGUCUCAAUAAAAUGAUUUAAACAAUUACAAUA
RNAcentral lists this small RNA (511 nucleotides) under Drosophila mojavensis. The record is from RNAcentral. Lineage: Eukaryota; Metazoa; Arthropoda; Insecta; Diptera; Drosophilidae.